Molecule: ribosomal RNA, 510 nt
Filed under: uncultured bacterium
Lineage: Bacteria
Description: partial 16S ribosomal RNA
Rfam family: Bacterial small subunit ribosomal RNA
Source: RNAcentral
GACGAACGCUGGCGGCGUGCCUAAUACAUGCAAGUCGAGCGAAUGACGAGAAGCUUGCUUCUCUGAUUUAGCGGCGGACGGGUGAGUAACACGUGGGCAACCUGCCCUACAGAUCGGGAUAACUCAGGGAAACCUGGGCUAAUACCGGAUAAUCCUUCGAAUCACAUGUUUUGAAGUUGAAAGGCGCUUCGGCGUCACUGUAGGAUGGGCCCGCGGUGCAUUAGCUAGUUGGUGGGGUAACGGCCUACCAAGGCAACGAUGCAUAGCCGACCUGAGAGGGUGAUCGGCCACAUUGGGACUGAGACACGGCCCAAACUCCUACGGGAGGCAGCAGUAGGGAAUCUUCCACAAUGGACGAAAGUCUGAUGGAGCAACGCCGCGUGAGUGAUGAAGGUUUUCGGAUCGUAAAACUCUGUUGUAAGGGAAGAACAAGUACGUUAGGAAAUGAACGUACCUUGACGGUACCUUAUUAGAAAGCCACGGCUAACUACGUGCCAGCAGCAGCCGCGG